GCGGGGUGUGGGCGUUACCCAGGAUAGAAUCUUAGUAUAGGCCAGGCAAGUGCACUACCACUGAGCAAGUAGCCAGAGACCUGAGUGUGGCUUGGAAAUUCCUGUCUCUCACUUCUCUCCACCCCCCCUCACUCCUGCCUCUGCUUCUUUGUCUCUCCUUCUCCUCUUUCUCUCUCCCUCCUUCCUUUAUCUCCCCCUCCCUCAUCCCCCGUCCAUCUCCGUCUGUCUGCCUAUUGCAUACACCCACACCCACACACGCACAUAUACGAAAUAAUAUUAAGCACAUUAGCACUGCAAAUGGUUCUUACCGUUGGUUACGUAACCUGGUACAUACAUAGCAUGGUUUCCUGGGACAGAGUGGGCUAGGGUGCUUGUGCUGGGAGAGUGACGGACAUGCACUGUCAAGCUAUAUCUACCACUUACAGCAAAGGAGAAAAAAUACCUGGAGUAAAUUCCAUCAUUUUUUAUAACAUCGGCGCCUGUGAAGAGACAAAAAAUUGAGUGUUAAUACGUCAUUUCCAUUGGUUGCUACUAUUUUAAUGAGCUAUUGAAACAUUUGUUCCUCUUAAGGUACAGCACACGGAGCUCUUUGUGCUCACAGAGAAGCCCAAGGGGAGCCUGUGGGGCUAAACACAUGUGGUGUUCCUUCCAGGGACCCAGAUGGCUGGGAGCGGCAGCGCUCUCUAGCCUGGUGACACUUGUGCUUUCUGAGGGGCUGGAGACCACAACAGAUCCUCCCUCAAGCCUUCAUCAUAAGUGUUUUCCUCAGUCAGUUUACAGAACCUUUUAUUAUGGAAAUAGCACAUUACUUUACAAAGAGUUUUAAUGUAGUCACAUUUGAUCUUUACUUUGUUCCUCUAAGGGAUUUACAAAUGCUCUG
RNAcentral lists this long non-coding RNA (880 nucleotides) under Rattus norvegicus (Norway rat). RNAcentral describes it as "long non-coding RNA NONRATT015843". Lineage: Eukaryota; Metazoa; Chordata; Mammalia; Rodentia; Muridae. The record is from RNAcentral.